CGAUAUGUUGUGGCCGUCGGUCCCGACCGCGGCAACGCGCAAGGGUUAAUAGGGAAGCCGGUGUGACUCCGGCGCUGCCCCGCAGCGGUAUGUGGAAACGAAGGCCGUCAUUGGCACUGGCAUCCGGGGUUCGGGACUGAAGUCCCUCCUACAGGGGCUGGGAAGCGACGGUUGGUAGGAGAGGUUCACGCCUCGCGUCCACGAGCCCGAAGACCUGCCGACAGCCGCGCGAAGCA
Molecule: non-coding RNA, 236 nt
Filed under: Arenimonas metalli
Lineage: Bacteria; Pseudomonadati; Pseudomonadota; Gammaproteobacteria; Lysobacterales; Lysobacteraceae
Also listed under: 1 other name
Source: RNAcentral